RNAcentral lists this ribosomal RNA (22 nucleotides) under Omphalina pyxidata. RNAcentral's name for it is "partial 28S ribosomal RNA". The record is from RNAcentral. Lineage: Eukaryota; Fungi; Basidiomycota; Agaricomycetes; Agaricales; Omphalinaceae.
UAUUUGACCUCAAAUCAGGUAG